Molecule: long non-coding RNA, 1169 nt
Filed under: Homo sapiens (human)
Lineage: Eukaryota; Metazoa; Chordata; Mammalia; Primates; Hominidae
Description: HSALNT0160788
Source: RNAcentral
GGCAGCUGAGCACACUACAGGGGCAGGCUGGUGAGAAUGUGGCCAUGGGCCUUAGCUGCAGGUUCUGGCUGCUUUCCACCUCUGACUGGUGGUCUUUGCCUCUCAACCCCAUCCUGACACCGAAUUGCAUGGAAAUACCAGGCCCCAGCUGGACAUGACUGACAUUUAUCUACUCACAUCCACCACCAAACUUCCACUGGAGCACAUGGAAUGGCGUGAGAAACACCUAGACAGUGCAUUUCACACCAGGAAGAGAAGCUCUGGGGACUGGAUGGCAUGUGUUUCUGCAAGGAGUCGGGAGCCUUGGUGGGAGACACUAUGGUGAGAAACGGAGAGUGCACACACUUACUGAAAACGUACUGAGAACUCACACCAAGCGUUUUCAAACCCUUCCUCUUUCUCUCAGCCCUUUUUUUAGUUAUCCCAGCUCAGCUGUUAAUUACCAUCAGUGAGUGUAGAAGAGGAAGGAAGCAAAUACCACCCUUCUUAAGCAGCUGGGCUAUUUUAGGGCAGACGUGAUGGAUCCUCAAUUAGAAAUUUGUACUAAACAUUCAAUUCACCCUCACACCAGUAUCAUACAUCACAAAUUGCAUUUCUCCAGUUUGGUUGUCAAGGAGCCAAAACGUGUGCUGGAUGCUCUAUAACUACUUAGCUAAGGUGGUGUCCCUCCUUUCUGUGUGUUGUUUUCUACUUACUGCAACCCCUCUUGUUAUUUUGUCAUUUUCCUGACCACUUAGCUUCCUCUGAAAUUAAAUUUUAUUCAUUAAGGAAACACCUUGUUUUCAUGGUUCUUAAUUUCUCGCUAACUAGGCUGUGUACAACCAAGAUAUUAAAACCCAUGCCAAAGUUUAUAAAUCUUCCAGAAAUCUUACACUAAUGAUCUGUCUCAUCCUUGGUGCCUUCCUGGUAUAUUUUUACAUUAUCUUGAAGUCCUAUUAAUAAUUCACACAUUCCAUUAUGCAGAAGGGGUGUACUGCCAGAUAAUAGAGUCCUCCAUUCACUCAUUUAUUCACUCAUUUGUUCAGGAAAUAUUUAUCAGGUCAGGGGCGGUGGCUCACACCUGUAAUCACUUUGGAAAGGAAAGGUGGCAGGAUCAUUUGAGCUCAGGAGUUCCAGACCAGCCUGGACAACAUAGUAAGACCCAGUUUCCAUAUUUAAAAAAAGAAAGA